ACCCAAUAGAUACCCUGGUAGUCCACGCCGUAAACGAUGUACGCUAGAUCGGUGCGGCUCUGACGCCGGAUCGGUCGAAAGUAAAAAAAACGAUAAGCGUACCGCCUGGGGAGUACGGUCGCAAGGCUAAAACUCAAAGGAAUUGACGGGGGUCUCACACAAGCGGUGGAGCAUGUUGCUUAAUUCGAGGCAACGCGAAGAACCUUACCUGGGUUUGACAUGGUCGGAUUAACUCCUGGAAACAGGAGCCACACCCGCAAGGGUGGAACGAUCACAGGUGCUGCAUGGCUGUCGUCAGCUCGUGCUGUGAAGUGUCGGGUUUAAGUCCUCUAACGAGCGCAACCCCGUAUCGUUAGUUGCUCACGCGUAAUGGCGAGUACUCUAGCGAGACUGCCGGUGUCAAACCCGGUAGGAAGGCGGGGUAUGACGUCAAGUCCUCAUGGCCCUUACAUCCAGGGUUGCAAACGUGCUACAAUGGUGCAUACAAAGCGACGCGAGGCCGCGAGG
RNAcentral lists this ribosomal RNA (507 nucleotides) under uncultured bacterium. RNAcentral's name for it is "bacterial SSU rRNA". It matches the Rfam family "Bacterial small subunit ribosomal RNA", at positions 770 to 1262 of the family's 1533-position model. The record is from RNAcentral.